RNAcentral lists this ribosomal RNA (485 nucleotides) under uncultured bacterium. RNAcentral's name for it is "partial 16S ribosomal RNA". It matches the Rfam family "Bacterial small subunit ribosomal RNA", at positions 28 to 507 of the family's 1533-position model. The record is from RNAcentral.
GAUGAACGCUGGCGGCGUGCUUAACACAUGCAAGUCGAACGGGAUCCAAGGGGUGCUUGCACUCUUGGGUGAGAGUGGCGAACGGAAGAGUAACACGAUAGUAACCUGUCCUUUGCUUUGGGAUAAGCAUUCGAAAGGGUGUUUAAUACCUUAUCUUCUGUCGGCUGCUCAUUGGGAGGGUGGGAAAGUCUUUGGCCGGAUUUGGGUGGGCUCGCGGGGUAUCCGCUUGUUGGUGUGGUGAUGGCUUACCAAGGCUCUGACGGGUAGCGGGCCUGGGAGGGUGGACGGUGACAUUGGGACUAAGAGACGGGCCAGACUGCUCAGGCAGGCAGCAGUGGGGGAUAUUGGAAAUUGUGCGAAAGGCUGAUGCAGCUACGGCGGGUGGGCGAUGAGGGCGUUCAGGUUGUAAACUUCUUUUGCUCUGAACGCGACAUACCAGUGGGUGUGUGGAGUGUCGGGGUUGAUUAGCACCGGCUAACUACGUG